Molecule: long non-coding RNA, 136 nt
Organism: Haliotis rubra (blacklip abalone)
Lineage: Eukaryota; Metazoa; Mollusca; Gastropoda; Lepetellida; Haliotidae
Exons: 3
Source: RefSeq, a predicted model, not a curated record
CAUACCUAGGUCCUCACAUUGGCCACUCAGCUUGUAAAAACAAAGCUACAGGCGUUCUCACACUGCUAAUUACCUCCGAAUUAGCAAGUGCUGGCACCAAAGAGAUUACCAGUAACAGGACCAAUAACAGGAUUUU